AGUGGAUGGGGAGCAACCUAGUUGUGCGUGUGUAAAGGUAGUGCCAAGAAAAGCGGUGAUCAUGAUGAAAAUCAAUUCCCGGUACCCGAAACCGACACAGGUGGGCAAGUAGAGAAUACUAAGGGGCGCGAGGUAACUCUCUCCAAGGAACUCGGCAAAAUGACCCCGUAACUUAGGGAGAAGGGGUGCCACCGAGAGGUGGUCGCAGUGAAGAGGCCCAGGCGACUGUUUAGCAAAAACAUAGGUCUCUGCAAACUCGAAAGAGGAGGUAUAGGGGCUGACGCCUGCCCAGUGCCGGAAGGUUAAAGAAGUUGGUCAGUCUUAGGAUGAAGCUAGCGACUGAAGCCCCGGUGAACGGCGGCCGUAACUACAACGGUCCUAAGGUAGCGAAAUUCCUUGUCGGGUAAGUUCCGACCCGCACGAAAGGCGUAACGAUCUGGGCGCUGUCUCGGAGAGAGGCUCGGCGAAAUAGGAUUGUCUGUGAAGAUACGGACUACCUGCAUUUGGACAGAAAGACCCUAUGAAGCUUUACUAUAGCUUGGAAUUGUGUUCGGGCUUCCUGUGCGCAGGAUAGGUGGGAGGCGUAGAAGGUAUUCUUGUGGGGAUACUGGAGCCAACGGUGAGAUACCACUCUCAGGAGGCUAGAAUUCUAACUUAAUUAAGGACAGUUUCAGGUGGGUAGUUUGACUGGGGCGGUCGCCUCCAAAAAGGUAACGGAGGCGUACAAAGGUUCCCUCAGACUGGUUGGAAAUCAGUCGAAGAGUGCAAAGGCAGAAGGGAGCUUGACUGCGAGAAGUACAGUUCGAGCAGGGUGGAAACACGGUCUUAGUGAUCCGACGGUGCUGUGUGGAAGGGCCGUCGCUCAACGGAUAAAAGUUACUCUAGGAUAACAGGCUGAUCUCCCCCAAGAGUUCACAUCGACGGGGAGGUUUGGCACCUCGAUGUCGGCUCAUCGCAACCUGGGGCGGAAGUACGUCCCAAGGGUUGGGCUGUUCGCCCAUUAAAGCGGUACGUGAGCUGGGUUCAGAACGUCGUGAGACAGUUCGGUCCAUAUCCGAUGUAGGCGUGAGAAUAUUGAGAGGAGCCUUCCUUAGUACGAGAGGACCGGGAAGGACGCACCGCUGGUGUACCUGUUAUGAUGCCAAUUGUAAACGCAGGGUAGCCAAGUGCGGAGAGGAUAACCGCUGAAAGCAUCUAAGUGGGAAGCCCACCUCAAGAUGAGUAUUCUGGUGUAAGGUCACGGGAAGACGACCCGUAAAUAGGCACGAGGUGGAAGUGCAGAGAUGUAUGAAGCCGAAGUGUACUAAUAGACCGUCGGCUUGACC
Molecule: ribosomal RNA, 1325 nt
Filed under: metagenome
Description: bacterial LSU rRNA
Rfam family: Bacterial large subunit ribosomal RNA
Source: RNAcentral